AGUCUGAUUGGUAACUCCAAUCUCUUACCAAAGGUUAGGGGAAUGGGUUCAUAUCUCUACAGUUAGGGCGAUGACAACAAGUCGGUUAUAGUGUUGAGAUGUCAAUACUUUUUUUUAAAAAAAAAAGAGAUUUCAAUACUUAGUAUCAGUACUUGCAUGAUAGAAGAAAUUCCCAUCAUUGGCCCUUAUCCAUUAUUGUCCUAAAUCGAUAUGGGUCGAAAAUAAUACACACACACACUCUCAUUCUCAUAGCAUAUAUCCCAUUUUAUUGUUUUAACAUCUACAAAUUUAAUUGUUGCUAAAAUCAGAUUUAAUCGAUAUGCCACGGAAUAGAGAUAUGACAUCUAUUUAAAAGAGAGAUAACUAGUAUACACUAAAAUUAAUUACUCAAAAGUCAAAUGUAUUUAGUGAUUUAGGACAGUCCAAAGUGUCUUGUACUCAUACCCAACAUGUCCAACUAACAGGGAUAAAAAGUUGUACUUGCACUCUAUUAUUUUUGUUAAUGUGAGUUAAAUUAAACUCAAUAUCCGACUCUAACAUAAUGGGUUUCCAAACCCACAAAAAUCUUUGCCAUCUCUAUAUGCAUCAGCAAAGACUCAUAUUUCCCUCUUAUUAUAGGGCAUGAAUAUGAAUGGCAAUCUAAGUUAAUAUUCAUUUAUAUGAACUGAAUUUGAUUCUAAUUAAAUUGGUUUAGGCGUAGAUAAAGCAAAAGGAUAAUUCAACCCCAAAGAUUGGGAAAAUAGUCAUGUAAACUCUAAAUUUUUAGUAAGAAACACCAAGAACCCAUUUUGAUCAUAAUACCCUUUAUAGAUAGUUUUAAAAAAUUAACUUUAAUUUUUUUUGAUAAA
Molecule: long non-coding RNA, 848 nt
Filed under: Citrus x clementina
Lineage: Eukaryota; Viridiplantae; Streptophyta; Magnoliopsida; Sapindales; Rutaceae
Description: Citrus clementina (C. clementina) long non-coding RNA (CCLE_LNC001749)
Source: RNAcentral